RNAcentral lists this ribosomal RNA (464 nucleotides) under uncultured bacterium. RNAcentral's name for it is "partial 16S ribosomal RNA". It matches the Rfam family "Bacterial small subunit ribosomal RNA", at positions 28 to 507 of the family's 1533-position model. The record is from RNAcentral.
GACGAACGCUGGCGGCGUGCCUAACACAUGCAAGUCGAGCGAAUGAAGUUCCUUCGGGAAUGGAUUUAGCGGCGGACGGGUGAGUAACACGUGGGCAACCUGCCUCAUAGAGGGGAAUAGCCUUCCGAAAGGGAGAUUAAUACCGCAUAAGAUUGUAGUAUCGCAUGAUACAGCAAUUAAAGGAGCAAUCCGCUAUGAGAUGGGCCCGCGGCGCAUUAGCUAGUUGGUGAGGUAACGGCUCACCAAGGCGACGAUGCGGAGCCGACCGGGGAGGGUGAUCGGCCACAUUGGGACUGCGACACGGCCCAGACUCCUACGGGAGGCAGCAGUGGGGAAUAUUGCACAAGGGGGGAAAACCUGAUGCAGCAACGCCGCGUGAGUGAUGACGGCCUUCGGGUUGUAAAGCUCUGUCUUCAGGGACGAUAAUGACGGUACCUGAGGAGGAAGCCACGGCUAACUACGUG